GGCAUCUGUAUACCAGCCAUCACUUCAGCAUCCCAGACAGGACAAGAAGGAAGUCUUUGAGUAUGCUCAGCGCGUGCCAUCAUGGGGCCAUGUUCUUCCCCUUUGCUCUUGGAGAAUAGACAAAGCUACCCAGCCCAGCCACAGCCUCAUAAUCUUGUUCUACCUCCCUCUCCAGCCUCAACUAUUUCCAGGCU
Long non-coding RNA from Homo sapiens (human), 194 nucleotides. Ensembl annotates it as long intergenic non-protein coding RNA 508. NCBI's taxonomy places the organism in Eukaryota, Metazoa, Chordata, Mammalia, Primates, Hominidae. The record is from Ensembl.